GAUGAACGCUGGCGGCGUGCCUAAUACAUGCAAGUCGAGCGAACGGACGAGAAGCUUGCUUCUCUGAUGUUAGCGGCGGACGGGUGAGUAACACGUGGAUAACCUACCUAUAAGACUGGGAUAACUUCGGGAAACCGUAGCUAAUACCGGAUAAUAUUUUGAACCGCAUGGUUCAAAAGUGAAAGACGGUCUUGCUGUCACUUAUAGAUGGAUCCGCGCUGCAUUAGCUAGUUGGUAAGGUAACGGCUUACCAAGGCAACGAUACAUAGCCGACCUGAGAGGGUGAUCGGCCACACUGGAACUGAGACACGGUCCAGACUACUACGGGAGGCAGCAGUAGGGAAUCUUCCGCAAAGGGCGAAAGCCUGACGGAGCAACGCCGCGUGAGUGAUGAAGGUCUUCGGAUCGUAAAACUCUGUUAUUAGGGAAGAACAUAUGUGUAAGUAACUGUGCACAUCUUGACGGUACCUAAUCAGAAAGCCACGGCUAACUACGUG
RNAcentral lists this ribosomal RNA (497 nucleotides) under uncultured bacterium. RNAcentral describes it as "partial 16S ribosomal RNA". It matches the Rfam family "Bacterial small subunit ribosomal RNA", at positions 28 to 507 of the family's 1533-position model. The record is from RNAcentral.